This 64-nucleotide transfer RNA is filed under the name Dipodomys ordii (Ord's kangaroo rat). It matches the Rfam family "tRNA". Rfam says of the family: Transfer RNA (tRNA) molecules are approximately 80 nucleotides in length. Their secondary structure includes four short double-helical elements and three loops (D, anti-codon, and T loops). Lineage: Eukaryota; Metazoa; Chordata; Mammalia; Rodentia; Heteromyidae. The record is from Rfam by way of RNAcentral.
GGGAAGUUGGCUCAGUGGUAGAGUGCAUGCCUAACAUGCAUGAGGGCCUAGGUUCAAUUUCUCA